UUAGUGGCGGACGGGUGAGUAACGCGUGGGUAACCUGCCUUACACAGGGGGAUAACACUUAGAAAUAGGUGCUAAAACCGCAUAAGCGCACAGCUUCGCACGAAGCGGUGUGAAAAACUCCGGUGGUGUAAGAUGGACCCGCGUCUGAUUAGCUUGUUGGCGGGGUAACGGCCCACCAAGGCGACGAUCAGUAGCCGGCCUGAGAGGGCGGACGGCCACAUUGGGACUGAGACACGGCCCAGACUCCUACGGGAGGCAGCAG
This 262-nucleotide ribosomal RNA is filed under the name uncultured bacterium. RNAcentral's name for it is "partial 16S ribosomal RNA". It matches the Rfam family "Bacterial small subunit ribosomal RNA", at positions 92 to 354 of the family's 1533-position model. The record is from RNAcentral.